Molecule: ribosomal RNA, 402 nt
Filed under: Bacteroidota bacterium
Lineage: Bacteria; Pseudomonadati; Bacteroidota
Description: Bacteroidetes bacterium partial 16S ribosomal RNA
Rfam family: Bacterial small subunit ribosomal RNA
Source: RNAcentral
UGGGGAAUUUUGCACAAUGGGGGAAACCCUGAUGCAGCGACGCCGCGUGAUUUAGAAGGCCUUCGGGUUGUAAAAAUCUUUUCUAUGGGAAGAAAAUGACAGUACCAUAGGAAUAAGGACCGGCUAAUUACGUGCCAGCAGCCGCGGUAAUACGUAAGGUCCGAGCGUUGUCCGGAAUCAUUGGGCGUAAAGGGUACGUAGGCGGGUAAGCAAGUUAGAAGUGAAAUCCUGUAGCUCAACUACAGUAAGCUUUUAAAACUGCUCAUCUUGAGAUAUGGAAGGGAAAGUGGAAUUCCUAGUGUAGCGGUGAAAUGCGCAGAUAUUAGGAGGAAUACCGGUGGCGAAGGGGACUUUCUGGCCAUAAUCGGACGCUGAGGUACGAAAGCGUGGGUAGCAAACAGG